Molecule: ribosomal RNA, 505 nt
Filed under: uncultured bacterium
Lineage: Bacteria
Description: bacterial SSU rRNA
Rfam family: Bacterial small subunit ribosomal RNA
Source: RNAcentral
AGUCACGAGUUUGAUCCUGGCUCAGAUUGAACGCUGGCGGAAUGCUUACACAUGCAAGUCGAACGGUAGAGGGGGCAACCCUUGAGAGUGGCGAACGGGUGAGUAAUAUAUCGGAACGUGCCCAGUCGUGGGGGAUAACGUAGCGAAAGUUACGCUAAUACCGCAUACGAUCUACGGAUGAAAGCGGGGGACUCGCAAGAGCCUCGCGCGAUUGGAGCGGCCGAUAUCAGAUUAGGUAGUUGGUGGGGUAAAGGCUCACCAAGCCAACGAUCUGUAGCUGGUCUGAGAGGACGACCAGCCACACUGGAACUGAGACACGGUCCAGACUCCUACGGGAGGCAGCAGUGGGGAAUUUUGGACAAUGGACGCAAGUCUGAUCCAGCCAUUCCGCGUGCAGGAUGAAGGCCCUCGGGUUGUAAACUGCUUUUGUACGGAACGAAAAGGUUUCUAUUAAUACUAGGAGCUCAUGACGGUACCGUAAGAAUAAGCACCGGCUAACUACGUG